AGUGAACGCUGGCGGUAGGCCUAACACAUGCAAGUCGAACGGCAGCACAGGAGAGCUUGCUCUCUGGGUGGCGAGUGGCGGACGGGUGAGGAAUACAUCGGAAUCUACUUUUUCGUGGGGGAUAACGUAGGGAAACUUACGCUAAUACCGCAUACGACCUACGGGUGAAAGCAGGGGACCUUCGGGCCUUGCGCGAUUGAAUGAGCCGAUGUCGGAUUAGCUAGUUGGCGGGGUAAAGGCCCACCAAGGCGACGAUCCGUAGCUGGUCUGAGAGGAUGAUCAGCCACACUGGAACUGAGACACGGUCCAGACUCCUACGGGAGGCAGCAGCGGGGAAUAUUGGACAAUGGGCGCGAGCCUGAUCCAGCCAUACCGCGUGGGUGAAGAAGGCCUUCGGGUUGUAAAGCCCUUUUGUUGGGAAAGAAAUCCAGCUGGCUAAUACCCGGUUGGGAUGACGGUACCCAAAGAAUAAGCACCGGCUAACUUCGUGCCAGCCGCCGCAGUAA
RNAcentral lists this ribosomal RNA (506 nucleotides) under uncultured bacterium. RNAcentral describes it as "partial 16S ribosomal RNA". It matches the Rfam family "Bacterial small subunit ribosomal RNA", at positions 29 to 523 of the family's 1533-position model. The record is from RNAcentral.